This 475-nucleotide ribosomal RNA is filed under the name uncultured bacterium. RNAcentral's name for it is "partial 16S ribosomal RNA". It matches the Rfam family "Bacterial small subunit ribosomal RNA", at positions 355 to 819 of the family's 1533-position model. The record is from RNAcentral.
UGGGGAAUUUUGGACAAUGGGCGCAAGCCUGAUCCAGCCAUGCCGCGUGCGGGAAGAAGGCCUUCGGGUUGUAAACCGCUUUUGUCAGGGAAGAAAUCUUCUGAGUUAAUACCUCGGGAGGAUGACGGUACCUGAAGAAUAAGCACCGGCUAACUACGUGCCAGCAGCCGCGGUAAUACGUAGGGUGCAAGCGUUAAUCGGAAUUACUGGGCGUAAAGCGUGCGCAGGCGGUUUUGUAAGACAGAGGUGAAAUCCCCGGGCUCAACCUGGGAACUGCCUUUGUGACUGCAAGGCUUGAGUGCGGCAGAGGGGGAAUGGAAUUCCGCGUGUAGCAGUGAAAUGCGUAGAUAUGCGGAGGAACACCGAUGGCGAAGGCAAUCCCCUGGGCCUGCACUGACGCUCAUGCACGAAAGCGUGGGGAGCAAANCAGGAUUAGAUACCCUGGUAGUCCACGCCCUAAAACGAUGUCAACUGG